CACCAUCCUCGGCUGUCAUCAGAUUGGUUUUGAUAGCGGGCAGCUAAUGAGCUCUUCUGCAUGCUGAUUAGGCUUGCUUGUCAGUCAAUGCCUGCAUGACGGCUAUCUUGAGAAGGUGUCAUGGCUGGGAUCACAUCUUGUGUCUUUGAGUCCACAAAACCCCCACAAAACCCAUGAAAUGCAGAGCUGUGGCAAGAAAACAAAUAUCUUGGUGCCUGUGCAAUCUGCAAAGCCAUCAUUUGCAUGGUGGAAUGGGCACAGUGCCCCCCGGCAGCCCCUGCACAUUAGAGGAGGGUGCACAGGAGACUUCUGAGAUAGCUGCGUCAUUUUGGAGCUAAGAGCACAAGUUGCAGGACAUGGCUGCUGAAGCCUGGACUGCUGCAGGGUUUUGGGCACCUCAUUCACAUUAAAAUUAAUAAUUGCAAACUAUCCUGGAGGUCUGGACUGGAUCACAGAGGUGCUUCAGAAAGCCUGGGACCCUUCAUCUGCAGGUAUAUUUUCAGAGCUGAUACCCUUUUGGCUGGCAUUUCUUCUCUGUCCUGUUUGUUUGCCUCCAGCUUAGCACUCCCCUCCAGAGCAAGGUGUUUGUUAUCAUUUUGUAGUGCAAGUUAGUUUAGUGGACUAAUUUCUGUAUAAAACUAUUGAAAUGAAAUGCAAAAUGGGCUCAUUAAUUGCUAUUAAGAUCAAAAGUCCUGCUAGCGGGACUUGUACUAAUGGAUGAUCUCUUGUACUGUCCUUCAGGAGAUCCCUACUUAUGGCUUGAGAGCAUGCCCAUCAUGGAAAUGCCUCUGGAGCUGCUGCAGCCUCCUCCCACGGAUCCAUCACUGUGUCCCACCAGUAAUUCGACCUGGCUCUGAGGCUCCCCAGGGACGGACAACGGGUCACUGCAGACCUUCAGCCCCGUGCUGCUUCCUGCUGUGACCAUCCCUGUGCCACUCAGCUGUUGCUGUUGGAGCUGUCACAUCAGUGGGGACCAGUCCUGCUCCGUCUGGGAUGUCACAGGCCGUGCUCUGCACCCAGCGGCAGCAGGAACAGACAUGGACAGCCACCUGGAGCAGCAUCCAGCCUCCUGCAUGCACCAGGGUGGCCCUGAAGCCAUCUCUGCAGUUUUGGGGGUGACCUCCUCAGGUUUUCCUCUGUGUCGGCAGAGAAAUCAGCUUCAGCAGAGCCUUAGCAGUGCUCAUGGCCUCUGGAGUCAUGCAGGGAACUAAACCUGCAUAAGGUUUGUGCUGUGCCAGGAGCAGAAGCUUUGCCUGUUCCCUGCCCCCACCUGCAAGGAGCCAAAAACCUUCACAGCCCUGGUCCCUCCAGAGCGAUGUCAGAGCAGGAGCCUGCUCCAGAAAGCAGGGACCCGUGCCAGAUACACCAGGCAGAU
RNAcentral lists this long non-coding RNA (1375 nucleotides) under Anser cygnoides (Swan goose). Its description in RNAcentral is "lncRNA (ENSACDG00005009135.1)". Lineage: Eukaryota; Metazoa; Chordata; Aves; Anseriformes; Anatidae. The record is from RNAcentral.